RNAcentral lists this ribosomal RNA (311 nucleotides) under Plectorhinchus lineatus (yellowbanded sweetlips). RNAcentral describes it as "partial 12S ribosomal RNA". It matches the Rfam family "Microsporidia small subunit ribosomal RNA", at positions 997 to 1311 of the family's 1311-position model. The record is from RNAcentral. Lineage: Eukaryota; Metazoa; Chordata; Actinopteri; Lutjaniformes; Haemulidae.
AAGGUCUAACAGUAAGCAGAAUUGGCACACCCCAAAACGUCAGGUCGAGGUGUAGCGCAUGGAAGGGGAAGAAAUGGGCUACAUUCACUACACCAGUGAACACGGAUAGUGCAUUGAAACAUGCACUUGAAGGAGGAUUUAGCAGUAAGUAGAAAGCAGAGUGUUCCACUGAAAAUGGCCCUGAAGCGCGCACACACCGCCCGUCACUCUCCCCGAGCUCCCCCAAACUCCAUUAACUAAAAUCAGCACUCGCAAUUAGGGGAGGCAAGUCGUAACAUGGUAAGUGUACCGGAAGGUGUACUUGGAAUAUA